This 1432-nucleotide ribosomal RNA is filed under the name uncultured organism. RNAcentral describes it as "16S ribosomal RNA". It matches the Rfam family "Bacterial small subunit ribosomal RNA". The record is from RNAcentral.
ACACAUGCAAGUCGAGGGGCAGCAUGGUCUUAGCUUGCUAAGGCCGAUGGCGACCGGCGCACGGGUGAGUAACGCGUAUCCAACCUGCCUUACACUCUUGGACAGCCUUCUGAAAGGGAGAUUAAUACAAGAUGUUAUCAUGAGUAAGCAUUUUCGCAUGAUUAAAGGUUUACCGGUGUAAGAUGGGGAUGCGUUCCAUUAGAUAGUAGGCGGGGUAACGGCCCACCUAGUCUUCGAUGGAUAGGGGUUCUGAGAGGAAGGUCCCCCACAUUGGAACUGAGACACGGUCCAAACUCCUACGGGAGGCAGCAGUGAGGAAUAUUGGUCAAUGGACGAGAGUCUGAACCAGCCAAGUAGCGUGAAGGAUGAAGGUUCUAUGGAUUGUAAACUUCUUUUAUACGGGAAUAAACGAAUCCACGCGUGGAUUUUUGCAUGUACCGUAUGAAUAAGGAUCGGCUAACUCCGUGCCAGCAGCCGCGGUAAUACGGAGGAUCCGAGCGUUAUCCGGAUUUAUUGGGUUUAAAGGGAGCGUAGAUGGGUUGUUAAGUCAGUUGUGAAAGUUUGCGGCUCAACCGUAAAAUUGCAAUUGAUACUGGCAGUCUUGAGUACAGUUGAGGUAGGCGGAAUUCGUGGUGUAGCGGUGAAAUGCUUAGAUAUCACGAAGAACUCCGAUUGCGAAGGCAGCUUACUAACCUGUAACUGACAUUGAUGCUCGAAAGUGUGGGUAUCAAACAGGAUUAGAUACCCUGGUAGUCCACACGGUAAACGAUGAAUACUCGCUGUAGGCGAUAUACAGUCUGCGGCCAAGCGAAAGCAUUAAGUAUUCCACCUGGGGAGUACGCCGGCAACGGUGAAACUCAAAGGAAUUGACGGGGGCCCGCACAAGCGGAGGAACAUGUGGUUUAAUUCGAUGAUACGCGAGGAACCUUACCCGGGCUUAAAUUGCAACCGAAUAUGGCGGAAACGCUAUAGCUAGCAAUAGCGGUUGUGAAGGUGCUGCAUGGUUGUCGUCAGCUCGUGCCGUGAGGUGUCGGCUUAAGUGCCAUAACGAGCGCAACCCUUGCCGAUAGUUACUAACAGGUUAUGCUGAGGACUCUGUCGGGACUGCCAUCGUAAGAUGUGAGGAAGGUGGGGAUGACGUCAAAUCAGCACGGCCCUUACGUCCGGGGCUACACACGUGUUACAAUGGGGGGUACAGAGGGCUGCUACCACGCAAGUGGAUGCCAAUCCCAAAAACCUCUCUCAGUUCGGAUUGAAGUCUGCAACCCGACUUCAUGAAGCUGGAUUCGCUAGUAAUCGCGCAUCAGCCACGGCGCGGUGAAUACGUUCCCGGGCCUUGUACACACCGCCCGUCAAGCCAUGGGAGCCGGGGGUACCUGAAGUGCGUAACCGCAAGGAGCGCCCUAGGGUAAAACUGGUGACUGGGGCUAAG